GCUGGGUGUGGUGACACACACCUGUAAUCUCAGCAACUCUGGAGGCAGAGGCAGAAGGAUCAAAAGUUAAAGGACAGCCUCAGCAACUAGGCCAUAAGCAACUUAGUGAGACCCUGUCUCAA
Molecule: small RNA, 122 nt
Filed under: Marmota monax (woodchuck)
Lineage: Eukaryota; Metazoa; Chordata; Mammalia; Rodentia; Sciuridae
Source: RNAcentral